RNAcentral lists this ribosomal RNA (451 nucleotides) under uncultured organism. RNAcentral describes it as "partial 16S ribosomal RNA". It matches the Rfam family "Bacterial small subunit ribosomal RNA", at positions 334 to 800 of the family's 1533-position model. The record is from RNAcentral.
CACUCCUGCGGGAGGCAGCAGUGGGGAAUAUUGGACAAUGGGCGCAAGCCUGAUCCAGCCAUGCCGCGUGAGUGAUGAAGGCCCUAGGGUUGUAAAGCUCUUUCACCGGUGAAGAUAAUGACGGUAACCGGAGAAGAAGCCCCGGCUAACUUCGUGCCAGCAGCCGCGGUAAUACGAAGGGGGCUAGCGUUGUUCGGAUUUACUGGGCGUAAAGCGCACGUAGGCGGACUAUUAAGUCAGGGGUGAAAUCCCGGGGCUCAACCCCGGAACUGCCUUUGAUACUGGUAGUCUUGAGUUCGAGAGAGGUGAGUGGAAUUCCGAGUGUAGAGGUGAAAUUCGUAGAUAUUCGGAGGAACACCAGUGGCGAAGGCGGCUCACUGGCUCGAUACUGACGCUGAGGUGCGAAAGCGUGGGGAGCAAACAGGAUUAGAAACCCCAGUAGUUCCCAUGA